This is a long non-coding RNA of Phyllostomus discolor (pale spear-nosed bat), 502 nucleotides long. RefSeq lists it as uncharacterized. The transcript has 2 exons. NCBI's taxonomy places the organism in Eukaryota, Metazoa, Chordata, Mammalia, Chiroptera, Phyllostomidae. The record is from RefSeq and is a predicted model, not a curated record.
CACACACACACCCCCCCCCUCAAAAACUAAAUCUGUAAUGGGCAUUUUAGGGAAUUAAGAGACAGUAAAACAAACCUGUGAGUUUGCCAAACAAGGAUUUCAGUGUAGAUUUUGUCUUUAUUCCAUGAACAAGUCACAGUUAAAGAUUUAAUGGAAGAACCUGCCAUUGUUGUUCUUCAUCUGGUUGUUGCUGUUUACAUUCCUUUGGUGAGCCUGUAUCUUCAUAAGCUUUUUAGUAGGUGUGUGUCCAACACUUCUGUUUCAUGAUCAAGACAGGAUCAGUGGCCAUGGAGACUGACAGCUGAUUUAUCGGUUUUCUUCCGUCCUUUUUCCGUGACUGUAUCUCCUGCCUCGUCCCAAUAUAUAAGCAAAACCUGGAAAACCUACAAAAACGUGUUUUGUGGUUAUCUAGGGAUAAUGCAGAAACCAUUGCUGUUAUUUUUGGUAAAGAAAGUCAAUUUCGUAUAGUUUAUUUCAACAUAAAUUGUGAAUUUUGUGUUUU